GGCGAGGGGAGUGAAAAAGAACCUGAAACCGUGUACGUACAAGCAGUGGGAGCACAGGUUUACCUGUGUGACUGCGUACCUUUUGUAUAAUGGGUCAGCGACUUAUAUUCUGUAGCAAGGUUAACCGAAUAGGGGAGCCGGAGGGAAACCGAGUCUUAACCGGGCGUUAAGUUGCAGGGUAUAGACCCGAAACCCGGUGAUCUAGCCAUGGGCAGGUUGAAGGUUGGGUAACACUAACUGGAGGACCGAACCGACUAAUGUUGAAAAAUUAGCGGAUGACCUGUGGCUGGGGGUGAAAGGCCAAUCAAACCGGGAGAUAGCUGGUUCUCCCCGAAAGCUAUUUAGGUAGCGCCUCGUGAAUUCAUCUCCGGGGGUAGAGCACUGUUUCGGCUAGGGGGCCAUCCCGGCUUACCAACCCGAUGCAAACUGCGAAUACCGGAGAAUGUUAUCACGGGAGACACACGGCGGGUGCUAACGUCCGUCGUGAAGAGGGAAACAACCCAGACCGCCAGCUAAGGUCCCAAAGUCAUGGUUAAGUGGGAAACGAUGUGGGAAGGCCCAGACAGCCAGGAUGUUGGCUUAGAAGCAGCCAUCAUUUAAAGAAAGCGUAAUAGCUCACUGGUCGAGUCGGCCUGCGCGGAAGAUGUAACGGGGCUAAACCAUGCACCGAAGCUGCGGCAGCGACACUCAGGUGUUGUUGGGUAGGGGAGCGUUCUGUAAGCCUGUGAAGGUGGCCUGUGAGGGUUGCUGGAGGUAUCAGAAGUGCGAAUGCUGACAUAAGUAACGAUAAAGCGGGUGAAAAGCCCGCUCGCCGGAAGACCAAGGGUUCCUGUCCAACGUUAAUCGGGGCAGGGUGAGUCGACCCCUAAGGCGAGGCCGAAAGGCGUAGUCGAUGGGAAACGGGUUAAUAUUCCCGUACUUGGUGUUACUGCGAAGGGGGGACGGAGAAGGCUAUGUUGGCCGGGCGACGGUUGUCCCGGUUUAAGCGUGUAGGUGUGUGUUCCAGGUAAAUCCGGUUCACUUUAACACUGAGGCGUGACGACGAGGCACUACGGUGCUGAAGCAACAAAUGCCCUGCUUCCAGGAAAAGCCUCUAAGCAUCAGGUAACAUCAAAUCGUACCCCAAACCGACACAGGUGGUCAGGUAGAGAAUACCAAGGCGCUUGAGAGAACUCGGGUGAAGGAACUAGGCAAAAUGGUGCCGUAACUUCGGGAGAAGGCACGCUGACACGUAGGUGAAGUGAUUUACUCAUGGAGCUGAAGUCAGUCGAAGAUACCAGCUGGCUGCAACUGUUUAUUAAAAACACAGCACUGUGCAAACACGAAAGUGGACGUAUACGGUGUGACGCCUGCCCGGUGCCGGAAGGUUAAUUGAUGGGGUCAGCGCAAGCGAAGCUCCUGAUCGAAGCCCCGGUAAACGGCGGCCGUAACUAUAACGGUCCUAAGGUAGCGAAAUUCCUUGUCGGGUAAGUUCCGACCUGCACGAAUGGCGUAAUGAUGGCCAGGCUGUCUCCACCCGAGACUCAGUGAAAUUGAACUCGCUGUGAAGAUGCAGUGUACCCGCGGCAAGACGGAAAGACCCCGUGAACCUUUACUAUAGCUUGACACUGAACAUUGAGCCUUGAUGUGUAG
This 1632-nucleotide ribosomal RNA is filed under the name Salmonella enterica subsp. enterica serovar Cerro. Its description in RNAcentral is "partial 23S ribosomal RNA". It matches the Rfam family "Bacterial large subunit ribosomal RNA", at positions 528 to 2141 of the family's 2925-position model. Lineage: Bacteria; Pseudomonadati; Pseudomonadota; Gammaproteobacteria; Enterobacterales; Enterobacteriaceae. The record is from RNAcentral.